Molecule: ribosomal RNA, 499 nt
Filed under: uncultured Glomus
Lineage: Eukaryota; Fungi; Glomeromycota; Glomeromycetes; Glomerales; Glomeraceae
Description: SSU rRNA
Rfam family: Eukaryotic small subunit ribosomal RNA
Source: RNAcentral
CCAAUAGCGUAUAUUAAAGUUGCUGCAGUUAAAAAGCUCGUAGUUGAAUUUCGGGACUAAUAUGUCGGUCGUGCCUCGGUACGUACUGGUAUUUUUGGUUUCUCCCUUCUGACGAACCUUGAUGUCAUUAAUUUGGUGUCUUGGGAAAUCAGGACUGUUACUUUGAAAAAAUUUGAGUGUUUAAAGCAGGCUCACGCUUGAAUACAUUAGCAUGGAAUAAUGAAAUAGGACGUUUGAUUCUAUUUUGUUGGUUUCUAGGAUCGACGUAAUGAUUAAUAGGGAUAGUUGGGGGCAUUAGUAUUCAAUUGUCAGAGGUGAAAUUCUUGGAUUUAUUGAAGACUAACUACUGCGAAAGCAUUUGCCAAGGAUGUUUUCAUUAAUCAAGAACGAAAGUUAGGGGAUCGAAGACGAUCAGAUACCGUCGUAGUCUUAACCAUAAACUAUGCCGACUAGGGAUCGGAUGAUGUUAAUUUUUUAAUGACUCAUUCGGCGCCUUACG